GAGGGUAUAGCUCAAGUGGUAGAGUGCGUGCUUAGCAUGCAUGAGGUCCCCGGUUCAAUCCCCAGUACUUCCU
Molecule: transfer RNA, 73 nt
Filed under: Camelus bactrianus (Bactrian camel)
Lineage: Eukaryota; Metazoa; Chordata; Mammalia; Artiodactyla; Camelidae
Also listed under: 2 other names
Rfam family: tRNA
About the family: Transfer RNA (tRNA) molecules are approximately 80 nucleotides in length.
Source: Rfam by way of RNAcentral